CUUUUGAGCUCUUGAGAGUGUCCUUCACUCCCAAAAGGCGCAAGCCAACUUUAAUUAAAUCUUAUAAAACAUUCCAUGCCCAUAUGCGGUAUCAAGGUUCAGUGAUCAACGAACCCCUUUAGACGUCUUCGACGUCGUUUGCUUCCUUCACACUUUCUACUGAAGAUCGAGCAGCGAGCACCAAAGCUAAAAGCUAAGAUUUUCACCGCAUCAUAAUGAAGUAAUCUAAAAAUUGAUCUAAGGAAAAGUAAAGUCAACAAGAAUUCAAGAUGUAGAGGAGCAUCAAAUCAAAGCUUAACAUAAUGAAAGACACCUCGCAAUUCAAAUCAAAACCGCUAUUACAACGAAUAACAAGACAUCCAUCACAACUUGCAUAGCUUUGAAACUGAAUGUCAUUCAGAGAUGAAGUUGCAAAACGGUUUGAUACAAUGUAUAUCAAAAAGGUCAUGCCGACAAGAAAAGCUGUAUAUAAAAAGUCCUUUUAUUGUAAAGAAAUAGAGAUACAGACCUCACCAUGGUCUGUUAUAAGGAAUGUUUGUGCAACCGACAGAAACUUAGCAUUUCAUAUCAAACUAACUAGA
Molecule: long non-coding RNA, 581 nt
Organism: Exaiptasia diaphana
Lineage: Eukaryota; Metazoa; Cnidaria; Anthozoa; Actiniaria; Aiptasiidae
Exons: 4
Source: RefSeq, a predicted model, not a curated record